Molecule: non-coding RNA, 66 nt
Organism: Triticum aestivum (bread wheat)
Lineage: Eukaryota; Viridiplantae; Streptophyta; Magnoliopsida; Poales; Poaceae
Source: Rfam
ACUAUAACUCCGCCUAUGUCUUCUAGGCAUAGCCGGUCCCAAGCCCGGGUAAAGGAGGAGGGUUGU